Molecule: ribosomal RNA, 253 nt
Filed under: uncultured bacterium
Lineage: Bacteria
Description: partial 16S ribosomal RNA
Rfam family: Bacterial small subunit ribosomal RNA
Source: RNAcentral
UACGGAGGGUGCGAGCGUUGUUCGGAAUCACUGGGCGUAAAGCGCGUGUAGGCGGCCCACUAAGUCUGAUGUGAAAGCCCGGGGCUCACCCCCGGAAGUGCAUUGGAAACUGGUGGACUCGAGUCCCGGAGAGGAGAGUGGAAUUCCUGGUGUAGCGGUGAAAUGCGUAGAUAUCUGGAGGAACACCGGUGGCGAAGGCGGCAUCCUGGACCAACACUGACACUGAUGAGCGAAAGCCAGGGGAGCAAACGGG